GAUGAACGCUGGCGGCGUGCCUAAUACAUGCAAGUCGAGCGAACGGACGAGAAGCUUGCUUUUCUGAUGUUAGCGGCGGACGGGUGAGUAACACGUGGAUAACCUACCUAUAAGACUGGGAUAAUUUCGGGAAACCGGAGCUAAUACCGGAUAAUAUUUUGAACCGCAUGGUUCAAAAGUGAAAGACGGUCUUGCUGUCACUUAUAGAUGGAUCCGCGCUGCAUUAGCUAGUUGGUAAGGUAACGGCUUACCAAGGCAACGAUGCAUAGCCGACCUGAGAGGGUGAUCCGCCACACUGGAACUGAGACACGGUCCAGACUCCUACGGGAGGCAGCAGUAGGGAAUCUUCCGCAAUGGGCGAAAGCCUGACGGAGCAACGCCGCGUGAGUGAUGAAGGUCUUCGGAUCGUAAAACUCUGUUAUUAGGGAAGAACAUAUGUGUAAGUAACUGUGCACAUCUUGACGGUACCUAAUCAGAAAGCCACGGCUAACUACGUG
Molecule: ribosomal RNA, 497 nt
Filed under: uncultured bacterium
Lineage: Bacteria
Description: partial 16S ribosomal RNA
Rfam family: Bacterial small subunit ribosomal RNA
Source: RNAcentral